RNAcentral lists this ribosomal RNA (837 nucleotides) under Triticum aestivum (bread wheat). RNAcentral's name for it is "partial small subunit ribosomal RNA". The record is from RNAcentral. Lineage: Eukaryota; Viridiplantae; Streptophyta; Magnoliopsida; Poales; Poaceae.
AUGGCGGCCAUUACCACCACAACCGCGUCCUCCUCCUUCCUCCACCGCCGUAUCUCCUCGUCACCACCAACAACCACCAUCCCGCUCCCGCGUAGCCACCUGGUUCCCUUCCACGCGCGCAACCGGUGCCACUACAGGCUCACCUGCCGCGCCACCGAUGUGUCCGGGGCCGAGCCCUCGGCGCCACCAGAGACCGGUGGGGGCAACAGCUGGUUACCGGUGGUGCCGCUGGCGGCGCUCCCGCGGGGAGAGCGCCGUGUGAUCGUACAGGACGGCGAGGAGAUCCUGCUUCUCUGGUACAAGGAUGAGGUCUUCGCCAUCGAGAACCGCUCCCCGGCGGAGGGCGCGUACACCGAGGGCCUCCUCAACGCCAAGCUCACGCAGGAUGGCUGCAUUGUUUGCCCAUCAACAGAUAGUACCUUUGAUCUUCGCACUGGGGAAAUAGAAGAGUGGUAUCCGAAAAACCCUGUUUUAAGGGCUCUGACACCUGUAUUGAGAAAACUAUUCGUGUACCCUGCAAAAACGGAUGGAGAAAAUAUAUACAUCAGCAUUAGGGGCGCUGCUAGCUCUGGUGGAUCAGCUGAGAUUCUGUUCAGCGGGAAAGCUCAACCAGGGAGUACUGCAUCUGAUGUCAACAUCGAAGAGGUUAGAAUGGUGGUCGAUGAAGGUGUAGGAGGUUUUGGUUUCACUGCUUACAAUGAACUGGUCAACGGAAAAGCUGCCAUAAUUGGCUUUCUAUUGUUGAUAGAUUUUGAACUUUUAACUGGUAAAGGCCUUCUAAAGGGGACUGGUUUGUUGGACUUCAUCUAUGCAAUUUCAAGUGCUUUCAGCUCGUAA